AGUGAACGCUGGCGGCGUGCUUAACACAUGCAAGUCGAACGAGAACGGAUUAUAGCUUGCUAUAAUUGUCAGCUAAGUGGCGCACGGGUGAGUAAUGUAUAGGUAAUAUGCCUCUUACUAAGGGAUAACAAAUGGAAACGUUUGCUAAUACCUUAUACUCCUUAUUAACAGAAGUUAAUAAGGGAAAGAUUUAUUGGUAAGAGAUUAGCCUGUAUUGUAUCAGUUAGUUGGUGGGGUAAUGGCUUACCAAGACUAUGACGCAUAACUGGUUUGAGAGGAUGAUCAGUCACACUGGAACUGAGACACCGUCCAGACUCCUACGGGAGGCAGCAGUGGGGAAUAUUGCACAAUGGACGAAAGUCUGAUGCAGCAACGCCGCGUGGAGGAUGACACAUUUCGGUGCGUAAACUCCUUUUAUAUGAGAAGAUAAUGACGGUAUUAUAUGAAUAAGCACCGGCUAACUCCGUGCCAGCAGCCGCAGUAA
This 484-nucleotide ribosomal RNA is filed under the name uncultured bacterium. RNAcentral describes it as "partial 16S ribosomal RNA". It matches the Rfam family "Bacterial small subunit ribosomal RNA", at positions 29 to 523 of the family's 1533-position model. The record is from RNAcentral.